Dicentrarchus labrax (European seabass) is the source of this 1102-nucleotide long non-coding RNA. RefSeq lists it as uncharacterized. The record is from RefSeq and is a predicted model, not a curated record. Lineage: Eukaryota; Metazoa; Chordata; Actinopteri; Moronidae. The transcript is spliced from 3 exons.
CACUAUGGAAAGUCAAGUGCAAUCCUUGCUCUGACUAAGGGCAAGGGUAAGAAACAUAGAAGCAUUUAUACAGUUUUAUGUAAGUUGUGUCGCAGUGAGAGCACUGCCAACCUGCUGAAUAUCCAGCCUCACUUGAAGAACCUCGCAAUGGGCUCCACCUGUGAUCAGGAGGAUUUCAGCCCAGCCAGAUUCCCCCUUGAUGUUUAAUUGAUGUUUCCUUGCAUCUGCUCUUCAGUAAAGAUGCAGGAAGAGACGGUAUUGUUGAGCCUUUUCAGGGUUUAAGGGUUGUGACAUUUUCACAGAUCCUAAUAUGAUUUCCUGUUAUUGAUUCUGCUUCUUUUAACCUCAUUAUAUUUAUUUAUUUAAUUUGCUAGUUUGUCAGCUGUUAUUGACCCCCAUUUGAUGUACAACAUUUUCUAAUUAGUCUUCUUUUCCUGCAUCAAAUAUGUUGGAGCAAUACAUUGGAGCAAUGUGCUGAUUUUGAUGAAACUUUCAAUUAGUGAUGCAUCCUGUUGAUUGGUCAAAAGGGAUCCUGGAUUGUUUUGUGUAAACCAACAUAUAUAUAUUAUUUAUAUUGUUUGUUUUUUGUCUUUGACACCAUGUAACAGGAACUGGAGGAUUGGAAAUUUCUAAAUUAAACUUUGUGGAGCUUCUUCAUAUCCUUAUAGAGAAAGAUGUUUUUCAAGGUCAGACACACUAUUACUAUAAUUAAAAAUCAGCUGUAUGUGUGUAAGAGAUGUUUCACCUUCCUUUUUCCCCAAGAGGUCUUCCCCAUCCACUGUAGCCAGCAGUAUGAAGCAACAUCGCAGUCAUUAGUAUGGAAAUUAAUUUCUAGAUUGGAUAAACUUUUUCCUGUACUGGAUAUUAAACAGGUACUGUACAUUCUUAAAUAAUAAACAGUGCUUUGGUCAUUUCCUGAAAACUAUGCAAAGGUACCAUUCCAAAAACAUCUCUUGUGUGAACCGCAGAUAAUUUGACAGAAGUUGUUGUUAAUUUCUGACUUUAAGUAUUUGUUUUAAGUGAUUUAGCACCUGAUUUUUUAUUUUUUUGUAUGACUGGGUAAUGCUACAUGGCCUAUGCAGAUGGUUAAAAAUUGUAGCAA